Molecule: long non-coding RNA, 242 nt
Organism: Armigeres subalbatus
Lineage: Eukaryota; Metazoa; Arthropoda; Insecta; Diptera; Culicidae
Exons: 3
Source: RefSeq, a predicted model, not a curated record
CGAAGAGAUGAUAUUAAUAAAACUGUAUGGUGCAGAAAGUGUCUUUUUCAUUACAGUUUCUGGUGUUGGGCAACGGUAGAUCACUAUGGCUUCUGUACCGUGAAAUGAAGCUUAUGAUGAAAUACUGAUGCUUGGCCAAUCUCACCAACGGGAUAUAAUAAGAACUGAUGCAGGUUUAUAACUACAUGUAUUGUCUAUCCGGAACAAAGUUAGUACGCUUUUUAUACCGAAGUUGGAUUUUU